AAAGAACUGUCAAAUACUGAUAGCAUAGGUUAGAUUGAUAGCAAAUUUGAUAGUAAAUGUUACAAGUUGGUGAAUCAUUUGAUGAAUUAUUGUCGACAACAAGUGGGACUGUUAUUUCUACUGAAAUGGUGUUGGGUUUGUAAAGUAUUUUAUAAUUCAAAUUCAGUUUCUCGGGAGAAUGUCAGUUUAUUAAAGUAAUUCAAACUAAUAAUGGAGUAUACUAGUAAUGUAACCAGUCCUCUCAAUGUGAAAGAAAGACUAAGCAGAAAAUGUUGAACAUUAUAUGCCUUUUUCUAUUAGAAACUGAGGCAACAACAAUUUGAUGCCAAACAUUAAAGGAAAAAUCUAUGACAAUGAGUUGGUAACUUUAUUCAGACACCAGGAGGUGACAACAUAGACGAUAAAGCUUUGGACAUCAUGUGCGGUUGGGCUUUGAUUGUAGCAGCCCUCAUUUCACUCUAGAAUGAGGUCCCUGAUUUUUUUGUUCAAAGAACAGAAAUACAAUAAAAGAACAUUGCAGAAGCUCUGGACAUCAUGUGCCUUUGGGAUUUGAUUGUAGCAGCCCUCUUUUCACUUUAGAAUGAGGUCCAUGAUUUUUUUCAUUGUAAUUAAUUAAGGUGAGAAUACAUAACAUAAUU
Molecule: long non-coding RNA, 638 nt
Filed under: Agrilus planipennis (emerald ash borer)
Lineage: Eukaryota; Metazoa; Arthropoda; Insecta; Coleoptera; Buprestidae
Description: uncharacterized LOC108741082, transcript variant X1
Source: RNAcentral